UUGUACACACCGCCCGUCACACCAUGAGAGUUUGUAACACCCAAAGCCGGUGAGGUAACCUUUUAGGAGCCAACCGUCUAAGGUGGGACAGAUGAUUAGGGUGAAGUCGUAACAAGGUAGCCGUAGGAGAACCUGCGGCUGGAUCACCUCCUUUCU
RNAcentral lists this ribosomal RNA (156 nucleotides) under Weissella minor. RNAcentral describes it as "partial 16S ribosomal RNA". It matches the Rfam family "Bacterial small subunit ribosomal RNA", at positions 1381 to 1533 of the family's 1533-position model. The record is from RNAcentral. RNAcentral also lists the same sequence under 1 other name. Lineage: Bacteria; Bacillati; Bacillota; Bacilli; Lactobacillales; Lactobacillaceae.